This 428-nucleotide ribosomal RNA is filed under the name uncultured bacterium. RNAcentral's name for it is "bacterial SSU rRNA". It matches the Rfam family "Bacterial small subunit ribosomal RNA", at positions 354 to 796 of the family's 1533-position model. The record is from RNAcentral.
GUAGGGAAUAUUGCACAAUGGAGGAAACUCUGAUGCAGCGACGCCGCGUGAGUGAUGAAGGCCUUCGGGUCGUAAAGCUCUGUCGCAGGGGAAUAACACAAUGAAGGUACCCUGUAAGAAAGGAUCGGCUAACUUCGUGCCAGCAGCCGCGGUAAGACGAGGGAUCCUAGCGUUGUUCGGAAUUAUUGGGCGUAAAGCGGAUGUAGGUGGCUAUGUAAGUCAGAUGUGAAAGCCUGGGGCUCAACCCCAGAAGUGCAUUUGAUACUGCGUAGCUUGAGUGUCGGAGAGGUUACUAGAAUUGUUGGUGUAGUGGUGAAAUACGUAGAUAUCAACAGGAAUACCGGAGGCGAAGGCGGGUAACUGGCCGAACACUGACACUGAGAUCCGAAAGCGUGGGGAUCAAACAGGAUUAGAUACCCUAGUAGUCC